CCCAGAUGCCCUUCAUCACAGGAUGACAGGACGGCCAGCUGCUGGGAGUGGCUGCUGACUGUGAAACAUACCCUCCCCCUUACAGGAAAAAGACCUCAGAAACACCCAUUGUCCUAUAAGCCUCUCAGGCACGGCCAGCUGCCCCAGAGCUCACCGGAGAAGUCGCCUGGGCCUGGAGUUCUCUCUGCGGGAAGGCUCCCGGCUGCAAAGUCAAGUUCCCGAGUGGAUCCAGAGCCAUUCCCAUCGUGUUUAUGAGAACAUUCAAAAUCAUCUCACAGCUCAAUCAAGUUUUGUGCCUCAUUUGAUAAGUCCUACUGCUGUGUCUUAGCGUUCACUGAUCUCUUCUUCUUCCUUCUCCGUCUUCAGAUUGGUGCAGCUCCAGCCGAUAUGGCCAUCUGGGGAGUGAACCAGUGGAUGGAAGACCUCUCUCUCUCUCUGUCUCUGCCUCUCAGUACACAGCCUACAUCCGCAGGGACAGCAGGGGGCCUACACCAUGAUGGCGUCCAUCUUCCCAGCAAAGAUGAAGGGGUGGCUUUACAACAACAUGCAGCUUCCAGGGAAACAGCUUCUACACAGCUGCCUCCAGUUCAACCAAUAAACUGUAGGACCUACUCCUGAUUGGAGGAGAGCAGCAUACUCGGCAUGUGGGUAGCAGAGUUGGGAUUGGUGGAAGAGGACUAUAAAGGAGGAGAGAGACAACAUGCACCAGGAACAUCUAAGGGGAACAUCUAUCUGAAGGAACACCUGUGCAGCCCCCGAGAGAGCCGGCCGGCGGUGUGCCGCUCCCCUGCGGAAGUGGGGAAAGUGGCCAGGGGGAACCGCCCUUCCACGGAGGUGGAAGGGUCGAUAGCCAACCCGGGAAGAACCAGCAGCAAACCUGGGGAGGGCCGAGCAGACAAAAGAACAGCGCAGGGUCCUGUGUCGUUCCUCCACGAAGAGGGGGAGUGACAUAAUGGUGCUGUGACUCGGAUAUGAAGCCUAGGCAGGGUUUAGUGUCGUUCCUCCACGAAGAGGGGGAGCAACAUAAUGGUGCCGUGACUCGGAUAGGAAACUUAGGAGGGAAGAAACGGGAAGAAGCAGGAAAAUACCGGAGAGAGAGAGACUAGAAGAGCCUAGGGGAAAGCCAGAUGGAAAAGGUGCCGGAAGAAGCUAUUGAAAGCCUAGGCAUAGACUCGGAUACGGACUGUGGGAAAGAAGUUAGGAUUUAAAGUGAAAGCAAGAAGAAACUUAGACUCAGAUACGGACUGCAGGUUGAAAGUGAAAGUGAAACCUAUAAGAAACUUAGACUUGGAUACGGACUGUGGGGAGAGGCCAGGAGAAAUGAGGGAGGAAUAUUGUUGGAAGAAAACUUAGGGAAACAUACCGGGUAGAGAAAAAUGUUAGGGAGGAUGAAGCCACGAGUGCAGGCUGAAGCGGAGACGUAAGCUAUCUUGGUAUUCUUUAAGUCAGCCCGGGGAGCAAAAGGCGAAAAGUUAAACCAGAGGCGGAAACGUGGGCCAGGUUGGAAUCCGUUAGAUUAGCCCGGGGAGCAAAAGAUGGGAAGCCAAACCAUAAGGCGGAGACGCGUAAGCCAGGUUGGAAUUCGCCAGGUUAGUCCGGGGAACUUAGAUUGAAUACCAGUGGCGGAAACGUGAGCUGGGGCUGUGUGACUCGUGGAAGCCGCUGCGUGCAGAGAGAGCACGGGGCGUGAAUAGAUAGGGAAUGCGGGGCUGGCGCGAGGCCGUGGUGUGGACGCGAAGGGCGUGGAGACCACGGAGUGUGCGCGCGAAGCCGAGCCGCGCAGAGCCGGGAGCCCGCCGAAGGGAGGGCGCCGGGAAGCCGCGCAGAUGAGAGAAGCGCGGGCUGAAGCGGCUCAGAGCCGGGAAGCCGCCGAGAAGCAGCCUCGGGGCGGGCGCCGGGAUGCCGCAGGGAUAAGAGAAACAGAAGUUUAGAAGUAAAAUGAGAGAAAUAGGAAUGCUGGUAGAUAGAAGUAAAACAGGAGAGAUAGGAAUGCCUGGAGAUAGAGAAAUAGAGAAAAAUAAGGCCUCCCCUCAACAUGGCAAUGAGAGAGCUUGGAUUCGGUCUGCCUGAUUAGGGAGGUGGUGAGCACCUGCGGGCGGCUAGCAGCUUAUGCGCUGCAGGUCACCGAAGACAGGCACGAAUUAACAUCAGUAAGUCUCCCCACAAUACCGCAAUGAGAAGGCUUGGAUUCGGUCUGCCUGAUUAGUAAGGCGGUAAGCACCAGCAGGCAGCUCGACCAGAGUAUGAGCUGCAGGUCACCGAAGAUAGGCACGAAUCAACACCAAUAAGUCUCCCCACAAUAUGGCAAUGAGAGGGCUUGAAUUCGGUUUGCCUGAUAGGGCUUGUAAGUACCUGCAGGCAGUUCUAGCAGAGCAGAGCAUGCGCUGCAGGGCACUGAACACAGGCACGCAUCAGCGCCUAAAAACCUCCUCACAACAUGGCGAAGAGAGGACCCGGAUUUGGUUUGCCUGAUUGAUAGGACUUAUAAGCACCUGUGGGCAACUCUAGCAAGCAGAGCAGAGUGUGUGCCGCGGGGCACCAAAGACAGGCGCGUAUCAACGCCAAAAAUAAAAAGAAAGGGGGAUCUGUGGGGAGCAACUCGGACUAGACUAAGUUACUGGAAUUAAGACUUAUUCUAUGCAUCUGCUUUCCCACAAUAUGGCGCUGAGAAGGGAAACAGCUUCUACACAGCUGCCUCCAGUUCAACCAAUAAACUGUAGGACCUACUCCUGAUUGGAGGAGAGCAGCGUACUCGGCGUGUGGGUAGCAGAGUUGGGAUUGGUGGAAGAGGACUAUAAAGGAGGAGAGAGACAACAUGCACCAGGAACAUCUAAGGGGAACAUCUAUCUGAAGGAACACCUGUGCAGCCCCCGAGAGAGCCGGCCGGCGGUGUGCCGCUCCCCUGCGGAAGUGGGGAAAGUGGCCAGGGGGAACCACCCUUCCACGGAGGUGGAAGGGUCGAUAGCCAACCCGGGAAGAACCAGCAGCAAACCCGGGAAGGGCCGAGCAGACAAAAGAACAGCGCAGAGUCCUGUGUCGUUCCUCCACGAAGAGGGGGAGCAACAGGUUCAUUGUGGCCAAGGAUAACAAAUAAAGGUUUUGUUACUAAGGAAAGGAAAUGGAUGUUGGGUACUCUUAGUAGUCUCUGCUUGAGUGUGGCAUUGCUGGGGGAGAGCAUUAACUUGGCAUCAUGAAUGAGGUUGGGCAAAAAGGGCAUUUGCACCAGCCCAGGGGAGAGGUCAUCUCUCAGGGGAUUGCCUGGUUGAACCAGCUGUGGACAGCAGUUCACCAUCAGUCAAAAUCCCUUACCAGGAGAACUGGCAGUCUGACCAUGGGAAGAUACUAUCCAAUUUGCCAGGAUCUUAGAAUAGGAACUGACAAGACUCUGCUUGAUAUUAUCAUGGUAGAUGCAAGUCUACACAACUGUCCAAGGCCACAGCUUGCACAACACCAAGAGUGCAGCUAAUGUAAACCAUGGGCCUGGAGUGACGAUGGUGCGUCUCUGUGGAUCCAGCCGUUGGAACACAUGCACUGUGCUGUAGGGCAUGGCGGUCAUGGGGAAGACUUUGCAGGAGAAGGGGCAAAGGGUAUAUAGGCAAGCUCUCUACCUUCCUCUCAGUUUUGCCAUGAACCCAAAACUUCUCCAGAAUGCAUUAAAUCAUUUUAAAGAAUUUUCUGUUCCUAGAAGUUCCCAAGUCACAGCUCUGUAUUAGCUAGGUCUUGAGUACAGGAACAAUGUGGUGAUGCCACCCUCUCAGAUGGAGUAGGACUGUCCAGUGGUUCCUGCUGAAGGUUGGCGCGUUAAGGGUCUGUACUCAUGGUGGGGAGCAUAAGACUCCAGUGGUCCCGCCCUGACCCCCUUCUGUAAGCCAGGCGCUUCUCUCCCAUGGCCCCUCCACUGUGAUGAGGUCACUGGCCUUGGGCAAGGUGGGACACAGGCAAAGCCUCUCCAACUUCCCGUUUCAUCACCGUCCCUUGUUCCCUGCGGGAGCUCCCUCCCUGGCAGCCCAGCAAUGCUGUGUCGUGGAAAACCAGUGCUUCUCAGCCUCUUGAUCCUUCGCAGUCUCACCUCUUCCCAGUCAGGAGCUCCGGUCUAGACUCACCCACCACGUUGCUGGGAUGGCCCCCAGGAGGUUACCAGUGAAAUAUGAACACGUAUCUGGCAUUUGAGGAGCCAGAGAAGCCUGAAUUUGGGAGUUUAAUGCAGUACACUACAGGAUGGUGGUAAUAACUCAACACGCAGAAUUCAGCUGUCAGAGGCUUGGCCAGUUUCUGCCGCAGUCACUGGGAAUUUCCCACCCCGGCCCUCGCGCUCUCCCCACUUCAGGCUGCACCCCCAGACUUCCCAGGCACAGCGCCGGCCUGGCUCUGCCUCAGGACCUUCUCCCGGUGCUCAUCUGGCACCAAGGAGCUGGUGCACCCAGGAGCAGCCUUCAGCCAAUGACUUCCAGGAACGUGCAAACACUGCGGGAGCUCUGAGUCUUGCUGCGGGACCCCAGCUCCCAUCUCCUCAGCAGGAGUAAGCGCCAGGCACCCAGAGGUGGCUGUGGGGACAGCACAGUCUCAGCUCCCCACUGCUGUCCCUUCACCCCCACCUCUCAUAGGAAUUGUUCACCUAGCUAUCCUCGUCCUAGCGUCUGCUCGGGGGGUGAUCCUGAACUAAGCCAAGACCCCAAUCAAGAACACUAUGAGAAACCACCGAAAUA
Non-coding RNA from Oryctolagus cuniculus (rabbit), 4706 nucleotides. Lineage: Eukaryota; Metazoa; Chordata; Mammalia; Lagomorpha; Leporidae. The record is from RefSeq and is a predicted model, not a curated record.